AAAAGAUCACCCGCGCUAUCUGCGUGGACCGUCACUGACGGGUUUCUGUGCUGGUGGACCUACACAGGCGCCGUUUUGUCUUGCGGACACGGGAGCACCAUUGUAACUUAUUUAACGUGCCGGGAUAACGCCACGCCUGCAGCGCGUUUAACUAGUCUAUCUGUACAAGUCGAUUCGGCAUGCUACGCAAAUUACGGAGCAAUUAUCGAAGAUGUUAUCUACACACCCACCCUCCGCCGGAUACCAACGGUGACCGAUGGCAACGCCACGAGUAUUCAAGAGAAACCGUGCAUAUGGUUGGCGUGGUGAACAGGAGUUUGCCUCUGUCGCCUCUAAUCGGACAUGUUCCUCCGCCGAACAUGUCCGAAUACCCUGCCUAGUCGUAUUGUGAUAAUGUCCUUGGUCCUCUUUUGCCAUUUCACCCCCACGUUGGUAAGUUGCUGGACCCGUCACACAACCCAAGUCUAGCUGCAUAGGUUACUGCAACCCGCCUUCCGGCACCCGUCCAAACAAUCCAAUGGAUAGGACCCCAUGGGAACCAUGUCGGCGUGAAUAUUAGCGUCACCGAGUUUGACGGUUUCCAUCGGAGAAAGAGGGCCAGAAGGAAAAGUCCGAGCCGGACCUACCCGUCAAUGACCUCCUGAUUGCCGGUAGACACCGUGACGCGCUAAACCAACUACCAAUUUGUCUUCCUGUCUGAAGCAGCCCAUCAACAUACCACGUACUCCGAACGGCACCGACUGUCUCUCCCUGAAAUGCCGGCUAGAAUCCAAACCGCCCCUACACUGGAGAGUGCGAACCGUACAAGUGGCUCGGCACUACGUGUCAUGGUGGCUAGAAAGUAUAACGCGACGGGUUAUUCCGCAAGCGCCCAAGGGUGUCCGCUUGUGUUCCGAUAAGCAUACGGAAGCUGCUCAACCGGUGCAUCCAAGCUAUCACGGGCCUUUACUUACAGGAAUUUGUGUCGUUUGACCCUCAUGAGUGCAACACUUUGUCGGACAGGGCCUUUUAAGCCAGCCAGUUUUCAGUGUAGGCGCUAAAGUGCUUACGAGCUAAGCGGGUGUGCAUUCGAAGUUCCGAGUCAGAUAGUUUCGGCUCGGUCCGCUUUUUACUGGCACUUUUUAGCUACGGGAUUUCCAUUCGGUAUGUUUUCGAGGCAGAAGUUUUCGCUGCCAUGUGUUUUCGGGCCUUUUGUCGAAUGCUUCUCAGCCGGAUGUUUUCCCGAAACGUUCCUGUUAGGUUACUGCUUUUGGUGGAAGCAAGCCCUUUUUGUAGAAGCAUGAUACUGAACGUGGUUUGCAGCACCCAGUUAUGCCGAUAUGUUCAUGAAGCCAGAUUCGUGCCAGAUUAGUGCCUUGGCGCUCGUGCCAGAUUGGAGCCUUUAGUCGGGCGUUUUCGAGUGCGGCUGGAAGUCGGAAAUUUUGUCGGAUAGGCUUUCUCAGUCUAAGCGGGCGGAAUUUAGUUGCUAUAAAAUAUGUACUAUCGUGACCCUGCCCUACGGCACUC
Paramacrobiotus metropolitanus is the source of this 1506-nucleotide long non-coding RNA. RefSeq lists it as uncharacterized. The transcript is spliced from 6 exons. The record is from RefSeq and is a predicted model, not a curated record. NCBI's taxonomy places the organism in Eukaryota, Metazoa, Tardigrada, Eutardigrada, Parachela, Macrobiotidae.